Molecule: non-coding RNA, 132 nt
Organism: Nerophis lumbriciformis (worm pipefish)
Lineage: Eukaryota; Metazoa; Chordata; Actinopteri; Syngnathiformes; Syngnathidae
Source: RefSeq, a predicted model, not a curated record
CCCGCGGCCCAACCCAAAGGUCACAUGCCGUCAGUUGUGUGAUUUGAGUGAGGCGCGCGCACAUCGAGCGUCGGCCCCGUCGCCUUUCUCGGCUUCCAGUGCCGUCGAAAGUGAAACCGGGGCCGGACACGG